GAUGAACGCUGGCGGCGUGCCUAAUACAUGCAAGUCGAGCGAAUGGAUUAAGAGCUUGCUCUUAUGAAGUUAGCGGCGGACGGGUGAGUAACACGUGGGUAACCUGCCCAUAAGACUGGGAUAACUCCGGGAAACCGGGGCUAAUACCGGAUAACAUUUUGAACAGCAUGGUUCGAAAUUGAAAGGCGGCUUCGGCUGUCACUUAUGAAUGGACCCGCGUCGCAUUAGCUAGUUGGUGAGGUAACGGCUCACCAAGGCAACGAUGCGUAGCCGACCUGAGAGGGUGAUCGGCCACACUGGGACUGAGACACGGCCCAGACUCCUACGGGAGGCAGCAGUAGGGAAUCUUCCGCAAUGGACGAAAGUCUGACGGAGCAACGCCGCGUGAGUGAUGAAGGCUUUCGGGUCGUAAAACUCUGUUGUUAGGGAAGAACAAGUGCUAGUUGAAUAAGCUGGCACCUUGGCGGUACCUAACCAGAAAGCCACGGCUAACUACGUGCCAGCCGCCGCCGUAA
This 515-nucleotide ribosomal RNA is filed under the name uncultured bacterium. RNAcentral describes it as "partial 16S ribosomal RNA". It matches the Rfam family "Bacterial small subunit ribosomal RNA", at positions 28 to 523 of the family's 1533-position model. The record is from RNAcentral.